AGGGGAACCUGUUGACAGAGUGCGGCAUCCUCAGGUGACCAGUGAGAGAAGGGCAUGUUCACUGGUCAUGCCUGAAGCCGGGGGGAACUGGGUUCAGGGCUGGGGCUAGUUUCUUUCAAUGUUUUGAAACCUGAACAUUAUGUUAACAACCUAAACAUCUUAACAAGUGUCUGGGAAUGUUCAAACCCUGGCUUGGGUUUGAGCCUAAGGGCAACCUCGCUGGCCAAGUCAGAGAGGUCAGGGCAGUCUGUUUCUUUCUCAGUCAGGACAAGACAAAGUGUGGGGACCUGGGGACCCUGCACUCCUCCAAAGUGAGUGCCUCCUUUCGGCUCAGAGACCUUGCUGCUGACCACCACAGGACACAGAAAUGGCAAAGACCAGAUGUGGGGACGGCAGGACGGCUGCCUCUCCCCUGAUGAGGUUCCCUCAGUUCUAGCUUAACAUUUGUUCUUCCGUGAUCACCAGAAGACUCCUCAGGGUCUCACAGCGGCAGUCUCCUAUUUUGACACAGGUUUUGGGCAUUUCUGAGAUCCCAGUAUGGUGCCCCUUCCCCACACCCCCCAGGCUGCAGUUUAUCUCCUUCUCAGCCUGGGCCAGGCACUGAGUCCAGCACUGAGCAGGGCAGAGCCUGUGGCUUCCUCGGGCUCCCUGCCCUAGGCUGGCACAGUGGGUGUGGGGUGGCCCCAGUGCCUUGGCUGCCCUGAUGCCAUCUCUAGAGCUGAGUGCCCAGGUCCUGAUCUCUUUUUUGAUCCUAGUUCCCCUUUCCUAGGCCCCCCCAAAGUGUCCCCUCCUGCUGUGACUUCUAGCCAAGAAGACAUUUCUCCCAGGCCAAGUGAUCUCUGAUAGAUCCUGUAGGACCACUGAAGUCAGACAGGACAAGUUAAGUCAGGGCCUAUGUGUCCAGUGCCCAGCAUGCUUGGGGAGUGACACAGAUGAUGAUGAUCUUGUCACAGGCCGGUGUCUCAGGCACAGAUGCUGAGACAGGUUGAGGUACAGGAUGCGCACUGGGGGUCGGCACCAGGAAGGCAGGGAGGACGGGAGAGGAGAGGUCGACUCAGGCAGCAGGAUCCGCAGAGCUGUGGUUGGCCCAGCAGGGAGCCCUGGAGGAGAACUGGCUAUGCUAUGCCAUGUGGGGCCAGGCUGGCUGGGACUUCACACCACGGUCUGGUGGCUCCCCAGUGUGGGCUGCCCUGGGCAGGUGUGACCUGGCAGCGUGGCUCUUUGCAGCCAAAGUGGGUCCCACAGAAACCAAAAUGAGACCAUGUGCUGAUGCAGUGUUCUCCAACAUGAAGCAAGAAUACAGUGGGGCCAGAGAUGCCUGCAGUGGCCACAGCUGCAGCCCUGCGUGGACCCACACUUCCACGUUGGAGAGGGGUUCCUCCAAGGUCCUGAGGGCCUCUCUUAAGGUGAAACUGGAAGAGGGAGACUUAAGGGGGCCACUGUAGCCCAUCCUUGCUGCUGGUCUUGGGGCUGCAUAGCCCUUCCUUGAGUGCCCUCCCAAUUCACUACCACUUCUGCUGGGGUGUGACUUCCUGGCAGUCUGAGCCCUUCUCCAGACACCACUGUGGUGGGGCCAGUGGAUCCCUGGGUCCCUAGCUGUGGGACAGCUGUGGGAUGGCAGCCCCAUCUCCUGCCCACCAGGGUCUCCUAGACAUGAGGUGCAAGUCAUGCCCAUGAGGCAGCUGUGGCUCGUCAUUCAGCGUGUCUGCUGAGUAUGUGCUGCUCUAGUGGCCGGGACCCCUGACCCUGCUGAGCUCAGAGCUGGGAGGAUCAGCUGCAGGGACCCCCCUAGGUCACUGGGAGGGACCGGAAGGGACCCCCCUAGGUCACUGGGAGGGACCGGAAGGGAGGCCCCUGCUCCCACCCUGGUUCCUGUAUCCUGCAUCCUUGUGCAGAGCCAGCACCACAGAAAGGGCUGUCAUUGCAAAUUGGCCUCGUCCUGGGGCUGGACCCUGAGUCGGUGUCCACAUGUGUGGCAUGUGCCAGGACCUCAGCUCCUGGGUUCUUUGCUGUAACACUAGUCUCUCAGGCUGGCUGGCACUUUGCAGUUGGGGAGCUCCCACUGCUGCUGGGGAGAAAAACUCAGACCCACUGUCCCUCUGACUGCUCCACUGGGAUCAGCUGGCCAGCCAGGAGCCACGCUUGGGACACCUCCCUCUUCCCCCUCCUUGUGGGGCACCCCACAAUGACCACUGCUGUGACGCCUCCACUGGGGCGUGGGGCUCUGGGUCCUGCCCGCACUCAGCCCUGAGGUGUCAUUCCCGUCCACUGCGGCCCUGCUGGGCUGUGCACCUUGUGCCUGGUAGGUGUGAUGGGUGGCUCUGGCCACGUGGUCCCAUGGUCCAGGACCCGGUUGCACAUGAACCUUCUGCCACCCUGCUCAGAAGCCCCAGGAGCCAUGUGGAGAUUCUCUCACUGGGCUUGCUGCAGCCUCCACAGAGCCGCCCCUCCUGCCACAGAGGUCUCCACCUUAGGGUCCGCCUGCUCCCUUGUGUCAGCAGCAGACAGCCAGCACACUGCAGGGUCCCUUGAGGGGCUGGUGGCCUCUGUGUGGGACCUGUCUGUAGGCCAGAGAAGUUCCUGGGGGUGGGGGGGCCUCGCUACCUGCAGAACCCUGGAGGGCGCCUGGCCUUGGGCCUCCUCUCCACUGUGGGAAGUUCCUGGGGGUGGGGGGGCCUGGCCUUGGGCCUCCUCCUUUCCACUGUGGGAAGUGCAGGUGCACAGGCUUCUCUCCACUGUGGGAAGUGCAGGUGCACAAGCUUGUCUGGCACUGGGAUGGGGUUGUCUGGUACUCCCUGCUCGGACACCCUAAGGAUUUCGGAGAGUUGGGCUGUGCCUCCUGGCUUCUCAUGCUCUUGGGUAUGUGUGUCUUAACACACUGACCACCAGCUUGUCCUACCUGGUCAGCAUCCAGUUCUAGGUCUCUGGACACUCAUGCCUGGACAGGAGAGCUGGCACAGCCUGGAGGCAAAGUGGCAAAUGUGAGCUGUUGUCUGCUCCACGUGGACGCGGAGUUUGCUGUGUUUUUUUCUGAUUGAGAUAGAGGUGCACUCAUCUGGUCCAGGGCUCAGCACUUGUACCUGAGGCUGCAGGGGCUGUGCCCUGUCUUGCCCAGGAGUGUUGCCAGCGAGCCCAGGACUGACCAGCCCAGGCUGCAGAGGUCUGAGCUCAGUGACUCUGGCCCUGUCCUGGCAGGGAGGGCUCGCUUCGUAGAUGGCGCUGGUCAGUCUUAUCCGCAUGGCCACACUCCCUCCCUGUGCGAGGUGCUGGCACAGAGCCCUACAGGUGCAUUCCCUCAACGGGCCAGGCUGUGGUCUAGGUUCCUCCAGCCCCCAAACCCUAUCUUUUUUUUGAGACAGGGUCUCUCAUUCUCACCCAGGCUGGAGUGCAGUGGUGUGAUCAGAGCUCACUACAGCCUCAACCUCCCAGGCUCAAGCCAUCCUCCCACCUCAGCCUCCCGAGUAGCUAGGACUGCAGGCGCACAUUACCAUAAGCUUUUGUACAGACGGAGUCUCACUAUGUUGCCCAGGUUGGCCGUGAAGUGGGCUCAGGUGCUCCUCCUGCUUCUGCCUCCCAAAGUGUUGGGAUAAUAAGUGUGAGCUACCAUGCCUGGCCCAAUCCCUGUCUUUCACCUUUGGCCACCAUCAGGCCAAAGGUUGCAGGCAGGUUCUCAGGAGCAGCAUCUGGGGACACCUCCACCAGAUCUCCCCACAACCCCAGAAUGCAUCCCAGAAGGGUCUUGCAGUUGGGGGCUGCCCUCUUGCCCCUUCCUCAUGUGAGCCCCUCACUGUGGCAUUGACACAGGCCUGGCUCUGCUGGCCCUUGGCAGGGUGGGGACUGAGCCCCAACUCCUGGUGCUUCCUCCCAGUAUUAUGCGGAGUGUCACGGCGUCAUCUACGUCAUUGACUCCACCGACGAGGAGAGGCUGGCUGAGUCCAAGCAGGCGUUUGAAGGUGGUGACCAGCGAGGCGCUGUGCGGUGUCCCCGUCUUGGUGCUGGCCAACAAGCAGGAUGUGGAGAAGUGCCUCUCAAUCCCUGACAUCAAGACGGCCUUCAGCGACUGCACCAGCAAGAUCGGCAGGCGGGACUGCCUGACCCAGGCCUGCUCGGCCCUCACAGGGUGAGUGGGGCUGCACCUGCGGGGGCUUUGGGGACCGAGACCCCCCGCCUCACACCCGCUGUCUUCACAGCAAAGGGGUGCGCGAGGGCAUCGAGUGGAUGGUGAAGUGUGUCGUGCGGAAUGUGCACCGGCCGCCGCGGCAGAGGGACAUCACGUAGGCGCAGCCGCGCUGCCGUCGGGACGGCUGGUCCCCUGGUGCUGGAGGAGUGGCCUCCUGUUGGCUCCCAUGCUGCUGAUCUGGGGGGUGGGUUUGCUUUGCUUUGGGGUUCUUCUAUUUACUUUGUUUUCUCGAAGACAAACUUUUCUCUAUGUCUGGAAAAGCGUAGGCAUCCGGAGGCUUUGGAGGGGAGUCUGGCAGCCCGGCUGGCCCAGGCCCUGCAGCGGCAGCCUUUCCACAGGGCGCAGCGGCGGCCUUUCGAGGCCCUUUCUGGGGGGUCUGAGGGAGACCUGGUUGGGAAUUGGGGCUUCAGUGCUCAGGCUGGCUUGGGCUGCAUGAGGACAGCCCUGUGGGACCCUCGGGAGACCCCGUGGCUGUCUCUGCCCCAUCGAGGAGGAGGCCCGUCAGCCAUGGCUGCCAUCUGGCUUCUGCCCUGUGACCCCGUGACCCCGGAAGUGGUCUGGGGCUGAUCUUGCCUUGAGGAAGACCCAGGCCAUGUUCCCAAAGGCCAGCGGGGGCCCUGGAUUGUGAUGCAGCCUCGGGACAGGGCUGAGGAGGUCUGUGGGGGAAGACCUAUACCCCACGCCUGGGCCUGGCUUCACCUCAUCUUAAUCCCCAGGGAGGGAGCUGACUGAUGCAAAAAGCUGAGGGGGCCUGCUGGGAGUGGCUGUUUUUAUGCCCCAGCCCCGCAAGUUGGGGAGUGUUUGUGGUCCAGAGCCCUCCCCCAGCCAGGAGAGAACCUCCUGGAGGGGUUCUUUGUGGGGCCCUGUGUCCCCUGCUCGGGAGUAAGGCUGGUCCUGGGGUCCUCCCUGCACAGCCCCCACUGGGCCUGCGAAGUGCUGUGUUCUUCCUCAGUCUGGCUGUGGGCAGGAGCCGCCUGCCCAGUGCCACCCAGGGUGAGUGCAAAAUAAAGACGGCGAGUGU
Molecule: small RNA, 5201 nt
Filed under: Pan troglodytes (chimpanzee)
Lineage: Eukaryota; Metazoa; Chordata; Mammalia; Primates; Hominidae
Description: retained intron
Source: RNAcentral